UGCGCCUGCGGCGGACCCGGCACGGACAGAAAUGAUUGGCUUCGCAGGCAGCCUGUUCGUGUACGGUCUGGUAACGACCGGAAUUUUCCGGGCUUUAACAAAUUC
RNAcentral lists this small RNA (105 nucleotides) under bovine gut metagenome. RNAcentral describes it as "RT-5 RNA". It matches the Rfam family "RT-5 RNA". Rfam says of the family: Clostridium (Firmicutes). Environment (Cow rumen (57)) The record is from RNAcentral.